UGAAUCCGAUUGAGUGAGAUUAGUUCGAUAGAAGCUCGCGAUUGUUUUGGUUGUUGUAGAAAUGCAUGAUUUUGUAUGGUUUCAUUUGAACUGCGAACCUUUAUCAAUUUAUCCGUCUGAAUUUUGUUGGUGGAACGCAAUUGAUCUUUUAUUUUUGUUUUAAACCCUUUAUAUAAAAUGAUUAAAAUGUUUCAACAUAAUUUCAAUAUUAUUCAACCGUUCAAAGAUAAUAAUUUGAAGAUUUUACUUAAAGAUAUUCAAAAUCUAAAAACCUAACACUCGUCGUCACAACUGCAUUUUUUAAUAGCGAAAAUAAUUUAAUUAAUUCGGAGGCGAAUGACAUUUUGUUUAAACCUCUUUAAUAAAUAAUAAUAAUUUAAUUAAUGUAUAAUCAUGCGAAAAACAAUUUAUUAAUUGAUUCAAAACGCUAUAUUUAAUUACAUAAACCAACCAUAUGUACAAUUGAAUGAUUUUCAUCAAAAGUAUUGAUACUGUUGGGCCUGUGGAAGAAUUUGAAAAUUCAUCUAAAAAAUGGAAGGAUUGGAAAGCUCCAAGAUGUUUAUCCGAUGUCACUCCAAGAAAUUCUUCCGGGAUUCUUCCGCAGUUCCUGGGAGUUUCGGGUUUUUUUGGGACUUACUUUUGAGAUUCCUCCUUAUUCCGGGAUUCCUGUGGAUACUUCUUCCAGGAUUUCUUCAAAAACCUUUCUCGAGGUUCCUCCAGGAAGUGCUUCCCGGAUUCGUUUGGGAACUCCUUCCGGCAUUCCUCCGGGAUUCCUCAAGGAACUUUUUCCUGGAUUCUUGGUUAUAUGUUCGACCGAUCUUCCUGGGAUUAUUCAGGAAGUUUCUCCGGCGAUUCCUGCAGUAAUUUUUUCAGAAAUUUUAGCCACGUAUUUUCUGAGAAAUUCUUCCAAGAACUCGUUUUGGCCUACCUCCAGGAAUUCCAGCUGGGACUCCUCCUUCUGUGGUUCUUCCAGCUAAUCUUGCUAGGACUCCUCUAGCAAUUCUAACUGAUACACCUCCAUGAACUAUUCCAGGGAUUUUUCUCGGGAUUUCUCCUGGUAUCUGGGAAUCUUCAAAAAAUUUAUCCUGCGAGAUUCCCUUAGGGACUCUUCCAUGAAUUUCCAUGAAUAUUUCUUCUCCAUAUUCUUCCAGGGUUUUAUCUAGGCAUAUCUCUUGGUACUCAUUCAAGAAACAUCUUCCCUGAAGAGAUUUCUCUAGUAAUACCUACUAGGAUUUUUCUAGAAAUUCCAACUAUGCUACCUUCAACAUUUCUUCUAGGGAUUCCUCUAGAGAUUUCUAUUGGGAUUCCUUCAGCUGCAGUUCCUUAAAGAAGUUUAUUAUGUGGGUUUAAUGGCAAUUAUCAGUGGCAAAUAACGGAAACAGCUUAUGGAUUGUCCAUUAAUUACGUAAAAGUUUAUGGGGGAGAGGAGGUUUGCAAAAUCUUACGAGUCAUAUAAAAAUAUUUAGGGUUUCAUACAAACAAAUCUUAUAAGAGAGUGGCGGUGUCGGAAAAUCGUGAAAAUUUCCUUACGUAAUAAAUGGACCGCCCCUUAUUUAGCGUGACGCGUUUUGACCUACUAUUCUUCGAUCAUCAUUAGACGCCUAAAACAUUAUAGGGGUAGGCGGGGCAGAAUGAACACCCUCAAUAUUUUGAAAUAUGCGAACUUUUUUGAACUUUUAAUGAAUGGAGAAUAUAGUCCAUUUGUUUAAAACGUAGUUUCAGGAAAGAAAUAUUCGAAAUUAAAAUUAUACUUGAUUUUACACGAAAAAGUUGCGUCCUCCGUUUUUUGUGCAUGGAAAUUAUAAUUUUCAUUUCGAUUAUAAUUAUUUCGAUUAAAACCUGAUAUCUCUAGAACACAUGCAAGUAGUUUUGCUGUAUCUACAUGCUUAACAUGUUUAUAUUUUCUUCUUUAUUAUAUCAAAAAUCAAGUUUGGAAAUAUCUUCUGCUGCCGGGGCAAAAUGGACACUCACUUUUUUGAAAGAAGGGGCAAGGGAAAAAUAUAACCUAAAUCACAAACCAACCAAAUUCUUCGAUUUCAGUAUAUUGUCGGUUAAAUGUUCACUAUAGUAGACAUAGAGUGAAACAAAUUGGUCAAAAAACGACAGCAGUGGAUAAUAGUUGUUCUAGGCACAGCUGAACAUGCCGACAAAAACGAAGCUUUAUCCAAAACAGCCUGAAUUUAAAUUAAUUGAAAAAAAAUAACUACUUCGGCGUAUUAUUCAUCCAUAAUAGUUGUUUUGUAAUUAAAUGACUUUAUAGGUGUAAAUAAUGUACGAAAUUCGUAAAAGUCUCAAGGUGUCCAUUCUACCCCGUAUGCUUGAAGACGGUCAUGAAAAACUAACAUUUUUCAUAACAUUUUUUGAAGUGGAUAAAUCAUUUUUCUUUGUGAGCAUUCUUAUGUAAUAGAUGCUAAAUAGACUUUAAAAGGCCACAUGUAUCAAAAAACUAAACUUUUUUGACAUUUUGCCAGGUAAAGUUGGCAAAACCCUUAGGGUGUCCAUUAGGGUGGCCCAGACUUAUAUGAAAAACAAAAGUUUACCUAGGGUAUAACUUUUUCCACAGACGUUGGAUCACUUUGCGGUCUUCGAUAAAGUUGUUUGGCAUAUAGUCACCUACAAUAAUACCAAAGGGUUUAUUUAUUGAACGCUUACAGCGCCACCUAGCGGCAAAAUUCGAAAACUUAAAAUUUCUGCAUACAUUUGGUCAAGUUUUCCCAUACAAACUUCAAGCGUUUUGAGCGCCCCCUUAGGCUUAAUUGAUUUUGCUCAAAUUUUGAACGUAGCUUCUGGGAGUCCAAAACAUCUGAUUUAGGAGGUAAGACUUGGCAUUUUUCGAAAUUUUUGUUUUUCAUAUAAGUGUGGGCCACCUUAGUGUCCAUAUUGCCCCGCCUACCCCUACAUUUAUUUAUUACAUUGACUUAAAUACAAUACAAUACAAAACACUUGCAUUCAGUUGGAUUCACCUCUUCAAUUCCUUCACGACGCGUAGUGCGUCAUCAGCAUCAUUGAAAUCUCGCUUGAAAUUUCAAAGUGAUAAAACUCAGUUACCAAAGCGCAAAUUCGGAUGAAAAUGUAUCAUCCCAUAUGCUCACUCGUGGUGAGUGUGAUGAUACUUUUUCUACUGCGUGACUGCAAAAUUUCCCGUUUUUUAUCACUUCAAAAACGCGAGGCAAACAAUCAUUGAAAAUUAAAAAGUCAAUGAUUCCUAUGAAAAUUCUGUGAUGCACCAAGUCACCUUCACUUAUAAAAACUAAUUUGCAACACCCAUCUCAUGGGUGAAUCAUUCAAAGAAAUUUUGAAGGAAUCCCAAGAGAAAUUCUUAAAAAAAUUCCACGAAGUAUUACAGUAAGAAUUUCUGGAUGAGUCCUAGGAGGAAUUGCUGCAAAAACCACAGCAGGAAUUGCUUGGGGAAUCCAGCUGAAAAUCCUUGAGGUAUCCCAUGAGAAAUCUAUGGGGGAAUCUUUGGAUGACAUACCUGGAGGAAUCACCGGAGGAAUUACCGCAGGAACUUCUGAAAGCAUCUCAGAAAAAAAAUCUGUGGAAGAACUAUUAGUGGUAUUAUGGGAUGUAUCAUUGUAUAACCUUCAGCAGAAGUUCUAGGAGAAAUUGUUGGAAGAAAUUGUACAGGAUUUUAUAGAGAAACCCCAUCAGGAACAUCUGGAGGAAUCCAAAGAUUUUUUUGAAGAAAUAUCUGGAUACCUAGAAAAAUCCCUGGAAGAACCGGUAGAGGUAUUUCGGACAUUUCGCAGGAAUUAAUAGAGAACGGUCUAAAGGAAUUGCAGGAGGAAUGAAAAAAUCUCGUAAAGAACACUAGUUUACAGCAUUUUUGAACUCGGUAAGCUGAUGAUCAUUUUUGGUGUAGAAUCAUGCCCUGAGUUUGAAAACACGAAAGAAAAAAAUUACAGUAGAGCGGAAUUUUUUUUGACUUUCCAUACAAGGUUGAUGAUUAGAAAUCGAUUUUUGUUCUAUUUUUAAGCAAAGUCGCUCACUUCAAACAUCUCAUUCUCCGUAAUCAAUGCUCCGAUUGAGCUAAAAUUUUUACUGUAACUCGCCUACAUAUGAUAUGUCAAAUAAACGUCGAGGAAGAAUUUUAAGUUGUUUUUUUCUUAUUGAAAAAAAUAGAUUUCUUCAAAAAAAUUUGGGAAUUUUGCUAAAAUUUAAGAAGAUCGUCCCUAAAACUUGUCAAUAUCUUGAAUUUCAUCAAUCUGACGCAAAACCUGUAUUCAGAUCAGUGGCGUCGCGUAACCUCACUUUUUACCUGUGCACCGACCCUAAAACUUGUAAUUGCAAGGGAUUUAUGAUCGAAAUCGAAAUACAAAUGAGUGAAAGCAGUUAUUCUCGUCAUUUUCUAAUUAUUACAAGCAAAUUUGUUCAAAAAAUUCAAGAAUUUAUACUUGGUGCACAGGUAAAAAGUGAGGUUACGCGACGCCACUGAUUCAGAUGAUAGAAUGGUAUUGUAUUCAGCUUUUAAUUUAUGGAAAAAGAUUUUAAAUUGGUUAAGCAAAACGCAAUAUAUUCGAAUUUUAGUAAAUUGCAUAUUUUGAAAAGUUGCAAAACUCGAUAUUGAGCUAAAACUCAAAAACUGUUCUACUUAAAAAUUUUUGAAGGUCGGUUUCGAAAUCAGCACUAAAUUGUGCUUCAAAAAUUUUGGUUGUUGACAGAAGUUCACGAUUUUCGUUUUAUUUUGUAAACUUGUGGAAUUUCAACAACAAUAGCAGGAUAAAUUCCUAUAGGAAUCACCAGAAGAACUCCUGGAGGUACCAUAGCCCUUUCGGGACGAACCAGCACAAUCGUGUUGUUUUUCUACAUUAGUUUUACAUGUUUUUCAGCUGUUUUUUUCCUCAAAAAUGUUUUUAUGAUCGAGUAAUUACUUAUACUUAUAUUUCUGAGCCUCAGUGUUGAUUGGAGUUGUUUAUAAAAAAUGCCACUAUAAGUUAAACAAAUAGUAAACAAUCACCCUAGAAGUUGAAAAAGUUUUAUCUGUCGUAUUUUCAUAAAUAUUUGUUCAAUCCAAGUAUGCAGAAGUAAAAAUCGAUAGAAAAAAGAGUAGUUCUGCAAAACGGCGAAGAAAAAGUAGUACUUUUUUGAAAAGCACAAGAUUUCUGGGUGGUCAAAGUGAGACCAGCACAAUUGUGCUGGUUCGUCCCCAAGGCGCCCGAAGUUCCAUCGGAAAUUGCUAUUGUGAGGCGUUUUAUGGUAUAAGAUUGUUUUUGAUGAUUAAAUCACUACAAAGUGUUGAUUUGUAAGAAUUUAGACGUAUAAUUUCAACUCAAGGAACACGAUAUCAGCUUGUACGAGUAUUUCAAAGAACAUUGAAUACUUGGGUGAUUAAUAUUACUCCAUAUUAUCGAAUUCAUGAAUUAGAUUUUAACAGGGAUUUUCUGUUCUUUUUCACUUCUUCUUAUUCACUUCUAUGAUUUGAAGACGCUGUCAAGCUGACCUCGUGUUCCUUGAGUUAAAAUUAUACGUCUAAAUUUCUACAAUUGUUUAAAUAGUUUAAACUAACACUUUGUAGUGGUUUAGUAAUUACAAUCAAUCUUCUAUACCAUAAAACGCCUAAAAGUAGGCAAUUUUGAGCAAUUUGUUAUAGAACAACGACCGCCUUGAGGACGGACCAGCACAAUUAUGCUGGCCCUAAUUUAACCCCAAAAAGUGCAUAGGUGGAAGAAGUUGCCAAAGUGAAGAGAGUUUUAUUCCAGAAGACGUUUAGUUUAUAAGAGAAAAAUUGAGAUAAUCAGUAUGUUAUGGUCCGUCCCGAUAGAUAGUAUUUCUGGAAGAGGAAUUGUUGGAAGUACCGCAGGAGGAAUUGUUUGAGGAUCGGUUGAGGAAGGCCAAGUGGAGUUUCUGCAGGUAUUCCAUGAAGAAUUUCUGGAGGAAUUUUUGAAUAAAAUCUCUGGAGGAAUUCCUGGAUAAGUCCUUGGAGAAAUCUCUGGAUCAGUGUGCAAAAUGUUUAUAGUCAUUGACUGAAAACAGCACGAAUUUGAAUGAUUCCGCACUGAAUAUUAAAAACAAACAAAUUCAUUUUAGGUCUCCCUCUUCACACAGUCAAUUCGUAGUCAUUGAAUAUGAAGCCGAUCGAGAAACAUCUUCAUAAUUAUUUACCUACGUUUAUAGCUAUGAUUCCUUCCAAAAACACUCCACAACAAUCAAAUGGGAAAAAAUCUAUGUAAAGCACCGUGAAAUGUAAUCGAAACGUUAAUAUUUUCUCAGCAAUUUACAACUUUGUAAGAUGUUUACAAAUAUUCAUUGCCUUUCAUUCAGUUGACAAACGAGUAUCGAGCAGCUGAAUAUGAAUAUGCAGGCAAGUGUGAAGAUUUUUUUUGCAGAAUUCUUGAAGAAAUCAUAGAAGCUUUCUCAAACUGAGGACAUUCCAGCUACCUUUACAAAAGUUGCAAGAGCGUGGCUAAGACAUCUUGUAAAAAAAUUAUCAAGAAUUUGUUUCAUGGAUCUCCCAAUAAAUUUCUGUAAAUAUUCAUAAAAUUCUGUCAAAAAUCUUGUGGGACUUACUCCUGAGUACCAAAAUGUUUGCUACAAAUAAUUCUAAAGUUUUGCCACAAAUUUUCCUUUUUGUUUUAGACACUGUUUCUUUAUUAUUUGAACGGUCUCCAAUCACUUCGGAAAUGAUGUCAAUGAUUUACCAUUUUGUCUGUGGAUUUACUAUACAGUAAAUUACUGUAUUUGUUUUUCAAUAACUCAGAAAAGUAACGAUAUUUAAAAUUUUACAUUUUAUGCAAUAUGCAAUGAUUUCAAAUUUGAUCAAUGAAACCUGAUUGAUCUAUUCCAAGCUUUUUUUCAUGCAAAUACAAAAAAAAACUUGUAUUCAAAGCUUUUUUCACCUAAUAAAAAAUAUCCGAUAUGCAUUAAUUCUUUAAGCACUUUAAGUAGUAUGCAGAUGCAGAAGUUGUCAUUCAAAGUCACGGAAAGAAAAUGGUCAAAAAUAUUUCUAUCAAUACAAAUGAUUUCUAUCUGGAAUGCAAUAAAGGUCAAAAUGUGAAUGAAAAGAUGUUGGCUUUAUAUGAACUUGAUUGAUAAAAACCGUAUGCGUUUGUACUGGUGCGGAUUUGAUGACGUCGGCGCGGAUUUUGCGGUUUUCAAAGCGACACUUCUGUAACAGCCCUGCAGUAUGAAAUCAUUUUCAAAACUUUGCCUCGGAACUGGAUUUCGGUGAAUCAGUAAACCGAUUCCAAAACGGCCAAAUGUAUUCUAAGUGACCAAUCAUUGUGAUAAUAUACUUACUCCAGAAUUUCAUGAUUAUUGGUGUAGCACUUUCAACAGUACAAUCGGAAUAAUAAGGGGUGCUGACUAAUUGCUGUCUGGAGGGCGAAAAUCACGAUCUGUCCCAAUAUAUGUUUCGACUAUUAAUUUAUUGAUAGUGCAUAGAUUCUUUUGAAAUUUUGCCUAUGCAAGAAAUGUAGAUUGUGAAGCUUAUGUUCAAAAUUUCAGCCAUUUCUUUUAUCAAAUUCAAAAGUUGCAGCGCUGGAAAGUUAAACUUGGGACUGUACAAAUCUCAAUUGCACGCGUUCUACUGUUUCGUUGCUACAACAAAAAGUACUGCAUUGAUUCACAUGAAAUUUUGCAGGUGAAAUGACCAGGGGACUGUUAUGGUCUUCUUGUUUUCUUACCCAGCAUUGAAACUAUGCUGCUGUGUUAAAAGAUAGAUUGUCAGCUUGAGUCUCACGCUUGAGCCGCAGUUAUGUUGGCUACGAAAACCUUGCAUUGAACAGUGGGAAAAAUCGACCCAAAAAACGGAUCUUUUAACGCCGCUGGUUCCGGUACGUGAAGUUGGCCAUUUCUGACGUAAACAAUUACGAGAAAUCGAUUGGUGCUAAAUUCAUUCACCGCACGGCACGGGAAGUGGUCCAUUUUGCCCCAUUUUGCCCUUUUUUCAUACAAAAAGAGAAUCAAAAUGUACUUUCAAAUAACUAACACGACUGUAGAUCGUUGAAAAUAGCUGCAGGUGUAAUUAGAGGUCAAUAGAAAUCAAAAACAUACAUGAAAGAUCCUUUUAAAUGCUUAUUUUGCCCCAUAUGCCCCAACAACUUGGAAAUUGUGAAUUUUACAUAAAUAUGCAUGGAUUUUUAAUGUUACUGUUAUAUUUGAAUUUGUUUUUUUUUCGCAUAAACAAAAAGCGCUAGAUUUGUUAUCAUCAGAAUCAUCUUCAGUGGUUGUGCAAUUUGCCCCAUUUUGCCCUAUUAUCAUAGAAAAAUGAGAUUUAAAAUGUAUUUAUAAGAAACAUAUAUUGCUAUGGAAAGUUGACAUUAGUUCUAGUUGCAAUUGGAAGCUAACAGUUAUCAUGCGCAUAUGUUAAAUAUAUUUUCCCUAUGUUACCCUACAUUCCCCUAAAACUGCUGGAUGAUAAUAUUUUUUGUAUUGUUUUGUAAUUUCACUGGUUGCAAUAUAUGAAGUCCUGGAUCAUUUUUGAUGUAUACAUAUGCGUAUUAUCGAUUAGCUUUAGAAUCUUCUCCGGGGGGUACAAAUAGCUGUCCAUUUUACCCCAAUUUGCUCUGAUAUGUUGUCGCUUCAUGAAUGAAUUGAUUUCCCACAUUUGCUAAUGUCCGAAUUGAUGGACUUUUGGUACUGAAACCAAUGUAAUCAAAAGGACAGUUAAGAAUAUGACUUUGGUGGGGAAUUCAGGGUAUAAUAAACAUUAAUCUUAAUCUAAAUUAAUGGCAAAUAUGUACACAACUAAUUAAAUUUGGCAUCUUCAGUAUUAUAUAAUUUGGUGCAUUAAAACACGCUAUAUUUAAUCAGUUUAGCGCAUAUUUGACAUAUUUUAUAAAAUGCUUAUUAUGCCCUUAAUUCCCCAUCAAAAACUGAAAUUAUAGAAAAAGUCAUAUAUAUGUCUUUUUGAUAACAGUGCCAAUGCUAAUAUGGGAAAUUAAUUUAUUCAUUACAUGACAAAAAAUCAGGGCAAAUUAAUUUGUUCAUUACAUAAAAAAUCAGGGCAAAUUGGGGUGAGAUGGAUAGCUAUUCAUACCAUUCCGAGAAAGAUCCUAGUAUUAAUCGAUAACCCGCAUUUGUACAUAUCAAAAAUGAUCCAGGACUUCAUGUUUUGCAUCCAACAAAACCAUACAAAAUAUGUUAUUAUGCAGCAGUUUUAGGGGAAUGUAGGGUAAAAUAGGGAAAAUAUGUUUCAUAUACACUGAAACCUCCAUUUAAGUCGGUGCAUGGCUGAUCGGAAAUAAUUUUUACUGUACAAACAAUGACAAAACUAAAGACUUUUAUAUUUUUUAAUACUCCGCAUGACAUAGAAGAUUUGUCAAAAAAUAUAAAACUGUAUAGUUUAGUCAUUGCUUGCACGGUAGAAAUUAUUUUCGGUCAGCCAUGCACCGACUUAAAUGGAGGUUUCAGUGUAUAUGCAUGAUAACUGUUAGCAUCCAAUUUCACUUAAAGCUAAUUUCAACGUGUUAUGGCAGUAUUUGUUUUUCAUAACUACAUUUGAAAUCUUUUUUUUUCAUGAAAAUAGGGCAAAAUGGGGCAAAUCGGACAACUCCCGAAGAUGAUUCUGGUGAAAAUAGAUCUGGCGGUUUUUGUUUAUGCCAAACAAAUCACUUCAAAUCAGUAACAUUUCAAAUCCAUUCAUAAUUAGGAAAAAAUGUGAAUAUCCACAAGUUGUUGGGGCAUAUGGGGCAAAAUAAGCAUUUAAAAGGAUCUUUCAUGUAUGUUUAUGAUUUCUAUUGACCUCUAAUUACACCUGCAGUUAUUUUCAACGAUCUACAGUCGUGUUAGUUAUUUGAAAGUACAUUUUGAUUCUCUUUUUGUAUGAAAAAAGGGCAAAAUGGACCACUUCCCGUGCCGUGCGGUAAAUGAAUUUAGCACCAAUCGAUUUCUCAUAAUUUUUUACGUCAGAAAUGGUCAACUUCACGUACCGAAACCAGCGGCGUUAAAAGAUCCGUUUUUUGGGUCGAUUUUUCCCACUACACACUUAAAUUCAGAAAUUGAUCUCGGUAAAGGGUUUACCGAGAAUCCAACAGCUGAUAUCUCGGUAAAAUAUUUACUGAUUCUCGGUAAAAAUUUUACCGAGAUUUCGGCAAACCAUUACCGAAUCUCGGCAAAGUUUUGACGACAUCUCGGUAAAACUUUUACCGAGAUUCAGUAAAAAUUAUUACCGGAUUCUCGGCUGUUGGAUUCUCGGCAAUCCGUUUGCUGAGGUCGGCGAUUUAAUUUAAGUGUGUAUGGUUUUAUAUCCUACAGAAGAAGAAUAUUUAAGAUGUUGACAAGUCCAAGGCUUGUGCAGUCUCUCCUCUGUGGUCCAAUGACCACCCGUGUUUAUACUACCUUAGGUAGACAUAAUGAAACAUACCUAGACAUUUAGGUACUGUAAUGAAUAGUAUUUUAUGUAGGUAGAUAUCCUAUGCACACAAUCAUUAGGUAGACACUACAGUCCUUUCCCCUUUAGAAAACUUCAAAAAAUAACAUUCAUCACCAAAAUAAUGAUAGCACAAAUAAACUGACUUUCAAAGACCA
Long non-coding RNA from Aedes albopictus (Asian tiger mosquito), 10467 nucleotides. RefSeq lists it as uncharacterized. The transcript is spliced from 2 exons. The record is from RefSeq and is a predicted model, not a curated record. NCBI's taxonomy places the organism in Eukaryota, Metazoa, Arthropoda, Insecta, Diptera, Culicidae.